RNAcentral lists this ribosomal RNA (216 nucleotides) under Triticum aestivum (bread wheat). RNAcentral's name for it is "partial small subunit ribosomal RNA". Lineage: Eukaryota; Viridiplantae; Streptophyta; Magnoliopsida; Poales; Poaceae. The record is from RNAcentral.
AUGUUUAUCCAGCACAAGAUGUAUCGGGUAAAUACUACAUUUAACUUUGUGCACCUAAUAGGUGUGAACAUGAAGAAGUGGUGCAUUUUGCAAUCAAAAAUAAAAUCUGGAGCAACUGAGGAGGUAUGCCGUACCAUCUUGUUCAUUUUAAGGUCUCCAUGCUGGCAAGAUGGAGUACUGAUAAUUCUCAUCUGUAACAUGGAAGAAAUGGCAUAG